UAAGAGAUGAGGUGUAAAGGUGUCUUGUGUUGAACAGAUGUACAGCUUAAUUAUUAUUGAGUGAGUGCUCAGAGAAGGUGAAAAGCCUGUUUGGUUGUGUCAAUCUGUUUAACCGAGAUACUGACGAGUCUAGUUGUUUGAGAGUACAACUUAAAGUUGGUGGUAAAUUUCAUCAAAGGCUAAAUAUAUGAGGGGACUAAUAGCGAACAAGUACCAUGAGGGAAAGUUGAAAAGAACUCUGACGAGAGAGUCAAACAGUACGUGAAACCAUAUUGAGUAAAACAGAUAACUGUGUUGUUAUGUGGUGUGCCUAUCAACAGCGUAUCUGGCGUUGUGAUGCUACGAGUGUAAGCUGUCUAUUCAGCCGAUUGCUCGUGGUUAGCAUAGUCAGAGCUUCUGUGUACUAGUGCGCACUCAAUCAUUGAGAAACUAUGCUGUUGCGGCAUCGGUGUGUAUCAGUCCGUACCUAGUGCGAAGUUACAUGCUGGGCUCUGCGAACGGCGUAGUGUAGCUGUGUGACAGCUGUGAGAUGCGUUUACUGAAUGUGCCUGCUUUGUCUGCGAAUCGGUUUAUUCCUUUUUGCGGUGAGUACGGUGCAGUAGGUAAGUGUCUCGCCAUCAAUGUUAACAUUAGUUAUUUGACCCGUCUUGAAACACGGACCAAGGAGUUCAAAUGGCACGCGAGUCAUUGGGUUUUGGCACCCGAAGGCGAAGUGAAAUGCAAACGUAUUGUUAUUUGUGGUUGUUCCAUAAUUAAGCGAUAAGCUACUCAUGCU
RNAcentral lists this ribosomal RNA (775 nucleotides) under Podocinum sp. NFS-2015. RNAcentral's name for it is "eukaryotic LSU rRNA". It matches the Rfam family "Eukaryotic large subunit ribosomal RNA", at positions 137 to 776 of the family's 3401-position model. Lineage: Eukaryota; Metazoa; Arthropoda; Arachnida; Mesostigmata; Podocinidae. The record is from RNAcentral.